AAGGCUGCAGUCAAGAAUUUUCCUCAAUGGACGAAAGUCUGAAGGAGCGACGCCGCGUGCAGGAAGAAACUCUUCGGGGUGUAAGCUGCUUUUUUAUGGGAAUAAGAUCUGAGUGUACCAUACGAAUAGGGACCUGCUAAACUCGUGCCAGCAGCAGCGGUAAUACGAGUGGUCCAAGCGUUGUCCGGUUUUAUUGGGCGUAAAGGGUCCGCAGGCGGUUCGAUAAGUCUGGUGUUAUAUUCUGGCGCUCAACGUCAGAGCCGCAUCGGAUACUAUCGAGCUAGAGGUCGGGAGAGGCAACUGGAAUUACCCGUGUAGCAGUAAAAUGCGUUAAUAUGGGUAGGAACACCAAAGGCGAAGGCAUGUUGCUAGAACGAAUCUGACGCUCAGGGACGAAAGCGUGGGGAGCGGAAGGGAUUAGAUACCCCUGUAGUCCACGCCCUAAACGAUGAAUGCUAGGCAUUGGAAGUAUCGACCCUUUCAGUGCCGUUUACACAAGUUAACACGUUAAGCAUUCCGCCUGGGAAGUACGGCCGCAAGGCUAAAACUUAAAGGAAUUGACGG
RNAcentral lists this ribosomal RNA (564 nucleotides) under uncultured bacterium. RNAcentral's name for it is "bacterial SSU rRNA". It matches the Rfam family "Bacterial small subunit ribosomal RNA", at positions 345 to 916 of the family's 1533-position model. The record is from RNAcentral.